ACUUAAAUGAUCUCUUCGGAGUGAACUUAAGUGGAUUAGUGGCGGACGGGUGAGUAACGCGUGAGUAACCUGCCUUAGAGAAGGGGAUAGCCUUUGGAAACGAAGAAUAAUACCCUAUGACAUGAUAGCCUCGCAUGAGAUUAUCAUCAAAGAUUUAUCGCUCUAAGAUGGACUUGCGUCUGAUUAGUUAGUUGGUGGGGUAACGGCCCACCAAGACAGCGAUCAGUAGCCGGCUUGAGAGAGUGUACGGCCACAUUGGGACUGAGACACGGCCCAGACUCCUACGGGAGGCAGCAGUGGGGAAUUUUGCACAAUGGGGGAAACCCUGAUGCAGCGACGCCGCGUGAUUUAGAAGGCCUUCGGGUUGUAAAAAUCUUUUCUAUGGGAAGAACAUGACAGUACCAUAGGAAUAAGGACCGGCUAAUUACGUGCCAGCAGCCGCGGUAAUACGUAAGGUCCGAGCGUUGUCCGGAAUCAUUGGGCGUAAAGGGUACGUAGGCGGGUAAGCAAGUUAGAAGUGAAAUCCUAUAGCUCAACUAUAGUAAGCUUUUAAAACUGCUCAUCUUGAGGUAUGGAAGGGAAAGUGGAAUUCCUAGUGUAGCGGUGAAAUGCGCAGAUAUUAGGAGGAAUACCGGUGGCGAAGGCGACUUUCUGGCCAUAACCUGACGCUGAGGUACGAAAGCGUGGGUAGCAAACAGGAUUAGAUACCCUGGUAGUCCACGCCGUAAACGAUGAGUGUUAGGUGUCUGGAGUAAAUCUGGGUGCCGCAGCUAACGCAUUAAGCACUCCGCCUGGGGAGUACGACCGCAAGGUUG
Molecule: ribosomal RNA, 815 nt
Filed under: uncultured Clostridia bacterium
Lineage: Bacteria; Bacillati; Bacillota; Clostridia
Description: bacterial SSU rRNA
Rfam family: Bacterial small subunit ribosomal RNA
Source: RNAcentral